This 73-nucleotide transfer RNA is filed under the name Paramuricea clavata. It matches the Rfam family "tRNA". Rfam says of the family: Transfer RNA (tRNA) molecules are approximately 80 nucleotides in length. Their secondary structure includes four short double-helical elements and three loops (D, anti-codon, and T loops). Lineage: Eukaryota; Metazoa; Cnidaria; Anthozoa; Malacalcyonacea; Plexauridae. The record is from Rfam by way of RNAcentral.
GACCGCGCAGCUCAGUUGGAAGAGCAUUGGGCUAGUAUUCCAAAGGUCGUAGGUUCGAAUCCCACCGUGGUCA